RNAcentral lists this ribosomal RNA (372 nucleotides) under uncultured organism. RNAcentral's name for it is "bacterial SSU rRNA". It matches the Rfam family "Bacterial small subunit ribosomal RNA", at positions 526 to 896 of the family's 1533-position model. The record is from RNAcentral.
CGUAGGGGGCUAGCGUUGUCCGGAUUUAUUGGGCGUAAAGAGCGCGUAGGCGGCUAGGUAAGUCCGACGUGAAAUCUGGAGGCUCAACCUCCAGCGGUCGUUGGAAACUACUUGGCUAGAGUCCGGAAGAGGAGAGUGGAAUUCCUGGUGUAGCGGUGUAAUGCGCAGAUAUCAGGAAGAACACCGAUGGCGAAAGCAGCUCUCUGGGACGGUACUGACGCUGAGGCGCGAAAGCGUGGGGAGCGAACAGGAUUAGAUACCCUGGUAGUCCACGCCGUAAACGAUGGGUGCUAGGUGUGAGCGGUGUCGACUCCGCUCGUGCCGAAGCUAACGCAUUAAGCACCCCGCCUGGGGAGUACGGCCGCGAGGCUA